RNAcentral lists this ribosomal RNA (459 nucleotides) under uncultured bacterium. Its description in RNAcentral is "partial 16S ribosomal RNA". It matches the Rfam family "Bacterial small subunit ribosomal RNA", at positions 339 to 795 of the family's 1533-position model. The record is from RNAcentral.
CUACGGGCUGCAGCAGUAAGGAAUAUUGCGCAAUGGAGGCAACUCUGACGCAGCCAUGCCGCGUGCAGGAAGAAGGCCUUAUGGGUCGUAAACUGCUUUUAUUUAGGAAUAAACCCCCGAACGUGUUCGGGGCUGAAGGUACUAAACGAAUAAGCACCGGCUAACUCCGUGCCAGCAGCCGCGGUAAUACGGAGGGUGCAAGCGUUAUCCGGAUUUAUUGGGUUUAAAGGGUGCGCAGGCGGGCUAUUAAGUCAGUGGUGAAAUCCCGGGGCUCAACUCCGGAACUGCCAUUGAUACUGAUAGUCUUGAGUUUGGUUGAAGUGGGCGGAAUGUAGCAUGUAGCGGUGAAAUGCAUAGAUAUGCUACAGAACACCAAUCGCGGAGGCAGCUCACUAAGCCAAAACUGACGCUCACGCACGAAAGCGUGGGGAUCAAACAGGAUUAGAUACCCCAGUAGUC